UUUAAACUCCAUCUUUACACAUUAGUAUCUCAAACUAACUAAUUUAUCUGCUUCUUGGACACUUUGGAGAACGACAGGGAGAGGAAGAGAGAAACUGGAGAAACUUUCUGCGACACUUCCGGUUGAAGCUUCCGGUAAUCACGCCCAGGUGUGUUCAGGUGUUCUCAGGUGUGUAUAUCAUUGUUUCGAGCAGGUAAGCGGUGCGGACCGCGGGCAGCAUGUUGGAAGAAGAAGGAGCCGGGGAAGGAAACAUGAAGUCUAGAUACUCAGAACUCUGUUGACGUCUUCCAGGAGGAUCCCCCGUCGGUGGCCGUCUUCCUGCUCAGGUAGGAGACUCAAAGCUUUCUUAAUGUUGUUUUAUUAUGUUCCAGGUUUUAGGUCUUAUAGAU
Non-coding RNA from Labrus bergylta (ballan wrasse), 389 nucleotides. NCBI's taxonomy places the organism in Eukaryota, Metazoa, Chordata, Actinopteri, Labriformes, Labridae. The record is from RefSeq and is a predicted model, not a curated record.